Molecule: non-coding RNA, 48 nt
Filed under: Schistosoma mattheei
Lineage: Eukaryota; Metazoa; Platyhelminthes; Trematoda; Strigeidida; Schistosomatidae
Source: RNAcentral
AUCCAACUGACGAGUCCCAAAUAGAACGAAACGUGUGUCAAACUGGAU